Long non-coding RNA from Apis dorsata (giant honeybee), 1125 nucleotides. RefSeq lists it as uncharacterized. The record is from RefSeq and is a predicted model, not a curated record. The transcript has 3 exons. NCBI's taxonomy places the organism in Eukaryota, Metazoa, Arthropoda, Insecta, Hymenoptera, Apidae.
AUAUACAGUGAGACAAAUUCUAUGAAAAUUAUAGGGAAUUUCACUGACUUGUGUUAGCGAAACAAAUAUUUAAACGCACAGUUAGAUUAUAUAUCGAUAAAAAAAUGCCACUGAUCAAACAAACAUAUACUCUCUGAUUGCCGGCUUGAAACUUUAUUUUUAUGAAAUCUUUUCGUUUAUACCGAAUCAACGAAACGAGCAUAAAAACAGGGGCCGAAGGAACGGUUCGGUUGAAUGUGAAUACGACAAAGGAUGCCGAGGAAGACCUAUGCCCCAUACAACGUACACGGCCCAGUCUGCUCGUUAGUCGAUACUCGUGGUUACCGAUAGACUAACGAAACCUCGAAUAACUGAAUCAGACGAUUCGUUUCUUAUAUAAAAGUGUACUUGAGUCGUGAUAGCACCGUAUGCGACCGAUGUAUCACUGAUGAUACACUGAAAACCAGGUAUAGUACCCACUUAGUUGCACGAGAAAGAGGAUUGACACACAAAUUGAAAUAAACGAACUGACGACACCGAGAAACUGAAUGAUAAAAUGGUGAUGGGUGAAAGAAUGAGAGCACAAGAACGAGAGAGAGUGGAAGGGGGCACAAACAGUGAGAACAGUGCUACAGACAAUAGAGACAAUUAUUGCACACAGACGGAGGAGAUGAUGGAUCAAACGCGGUACCAUUUCGGCGCCCCUUUAUCUUCUUUCACUUAUCUUUUCUUCUCUUCUCUUUUUCUAUCAUCUCUCUACUACCUACCUAUAACCACCCCUAGUGAGCGCUUUCCUCUACCUACCCCCUCUUAUCGUAACACGUUUCGCGUUUAUUUCGCCUUUUAACCUCUUUAACUUUGAUACAGGCACACGAAAUGCGAUUCAACAUUGCGCAUUCAAUCGUUCGUUUUACUAUUAACGUAUGCAAAAUAAGAUAAUUUUAUGUUACGAACCUUUCAUUUAAUGAAAUGCCGCAGAUGUCCAUAAGAUACUUAUAGAAAUGUUUUAAUAUGUAUAAAGUAAACAACGAAUGUUGAACAUAUCGUAUAGCUUUCAAAGUGAUUCGAAGUGUAAAUGUUGAUAAUGUAAAUCUCCGUUCUCUGCUUUGUAAAAUUAAACAAGAAUAAAUUUUCUUUUAAAAAAUA